UUGGAGGGCAAGUCUGGUGCCAGCAGCCGCGGUAAUUCCAGCUCCAAUAGCGUAUAUUAAAGUUGUUGCAGUUAAAAAGCUCGUAGUUGAAUUUCGGGAUUAGUACGUCGGUCGUGCCUUAGGUACGUACUGGUGUUACUGGUUCCUACCUUCUGACGAACCAUCAUGUCAUUAAUUUGGUGCGGUGGGGAAUCAGGACUGUUACUUUGAAAUAAUUAGAGUGUUUAAAGCAGGCUCGCGCUUGAAUACAUUAGCACGGAAUAAUGAAAUAGGACGUUGAUCCUAUUUUGUUGGUUUCUAGGAUUGACGUAAUGAUUAAUAGGGAUAGUUGGGGGCAUUAGUAUUCAAUUGUCAGAGGUGAAAUUCUUGGAUUUAUUGAAGACUAACUACUGCGAAAGCAUUUGCCAAGGAUGUUUUCAUUAAUCAAGAACGAAAGUUAGGGGAUCGAAGACGAUCAGAUACCGUCGUAGUCUUAACCAUAAACUAUGCCGACUAGGAAUCAGACGAUGUUAAUUUUUUAAUGACUCGUUUGGCACCUUACGGGAAAC
Molecule: ribosomal RNA, 548 nt
Filed under: uncultured Glomus
Lineage: Eukaryota; Fungi; Glomeromycota; Glomeromycetes; Glomerales; Glomeraceae
Description: SSU rRNA
Rfam family: Eukaryotic small subunit ribosomal RNA
Source: RNAcentral